RNAcentral lists this long non-coding RNA (1137 nucleotides) under Struthio camelus australis. Its description in RNAcentral is "lncRNA (ENSSCUG00000000413.1)". Lineage: Eukaryota; Metazoa; Chordata; Aves; Struthioniformes; Struthionidae. The record is from RNAcentral.
AGCGGAGGGAGAGGGCGGCGGGCAGGCCUCGGGGGGAGCGGGCGCGGGCUGCCGCCUGGGGGAAGAGGACAAGGCCCUUCUCCAGCUGGUUUGGAGGCUGUGCCCUGCGGGUUGUAACAGGGCCGAGGCGGCGGGCACGGCGCGUGAGCGGAUGAGCUCUGGGAGGAAAGGUGCUAUAACGCCUUUUCUCUGCAUAUACCUACGUACAGAGCGGUAGGGAGACCUAGAAGGCAAGGAUCCUUCCCAAAUCAGGGCAGGUGCCUGCCCACGUAGUGGUCCAAGGUUAUCCUGCCUCGAUUCCUCUUGGCCUGCAAAAUGUUGUCGUAAAUUAGGGGAGAACAUGGGGAGAGUAUAGGCCAACUCCUCAUCUGCAUCAGCCUGAAGAAAGGGACCGGAGCACAGAAGGAUCUGCUCCUGCUAUGUGGAAGGAGGCAUGCGGCCUCCUCCCUGCCUUUCCUGGAGGACUGCCAACCCUUGCACUGCCCCAUCUUUAGGGGUAUAGCUACAUAAGGAACCCUACCCUGGACCUGCAUUCUGUGCCAGAUGCUUACUGAGUACAGCAAUGUAUGCAGAUAAUUGCACGAUAAGAUAUUCAUUGGCUUUCUGUAACUUAGGCUUGGAAAUGCUCUCUACACCAUAUCUGCUUUCAUUACCUUCAUAAGGUGUGACCAGUCUCAGGAAUUUGAUGAUAGAUCAAAUUCGCCACGGGGGAAGAGAGUCCUUUUUCUACUAAAAUCACCGUAACUUUCCUGACGCUGUCUUGCUCGGCUUUCAUAUCAUUGCAAGAACGUAGAUUUUUGCUAAAACUCCCUCCCUUGUUUUUUGUGAACCUCUUGAACGGUUGUGGGAAUUCACUGACAGAUGAAGGACUGAAGGGCUCAGUACAGGGAGCACACACAGCGCCUAACUUUGAGCUUGUGGCAUAUCCAGCAGACUCCUGGACACAGGAUGGGACAGGGCCCCAAGAGUUGCUGACUUCACACGUCACACUAAUGCAGUGUUUGCUUGAGGACAUGCAUCCUGAGCUGAUGGGCAAUGUAGCAAGCAUCUAGGUAUUUCUGAGGUAACAGGAAAAAACACGUUCUCUUCUGUGACCUUCACAAGCCUUGAACCUGCUUAUUCACAGGUAUUUUUCUG